Molecule: transfer RNA, 72 nt
Filed under: Thermoproteus tenax Kra 1
Lineage: Archaea; Thermoproteati; Thermoproteota; Thermoprotei; Thermoproteales; Thermoproteaceae
Description: tRNA-Phe (GAA) (tRNA-Phe-GAA-1-1)
Rfam family: tRNA
About the family: Transfer RNA (tRNA) molecules are approximately 80 nucleotides in length. Their secondary structure includes four short double-helical elements and three loops (D, anti-codon, and T loops).
Source: Rfam by way of RNAcentral
GCAGCCGUAGCUCAGCGGGAGAGCGCCCGGCUGAAGACCGGGCGGUCCCGGGUUCAAAUCCCGGCGGCUGCA